ACCUUGGAAACCUGGGGAGGCAUUCUCGGGAGGCUUUCCCUUAGCACCACCCUUAAUCUGCUCUGGCAGCCUCAGAGGCGGAGCACCCCGGACUCCUACAUAGCAGCGGUGACCCGGGGUCAUUUUGACGAUGGAGGGCCCUCUUCAAGAUGGGGUGGCUGCGGGAUGCACCCUCCGGGACCAGAAAAUCCAAGGCAGACGUUGUGUUUCUUUUGGGGGACACACUGGAUGCAUGGGUUACAAAAGUCGAUCAUAUGACAACUACUUCAGCUGGAAACGUUGCCCGGAGAAGAUCUCAUCACGUUUGCCAAGAAGCAAGUGAUGCUACUACAGAAAGUAAAACAAGGUGCACAGGAAACAGAAGAAAGGAAGCCUGGAACUCUAAGGAAAUGCAUCAUCAGCUUUAUCACCACGCCUCGCCUCCCCCAGCCUUGUCCUGUUGCUUCAGGAUCAGCAGCAGAAUAUCUGAAUACUCUGGAGAUUGCUAGAUGAAAAUGUAAGGAGUGAAUUUCAAACUAUAAUUACAGAGAAGGACCUUCUGAACAAGAAUGCAGUCGCUUGGGAAAUAAACAAGAUUUGAUGCAUAAGCCAACAUAACACUUAGAAGCUUCUGCACAGGCUUCCUGGUUCCAGCUAAUGCAUCAAAUACAAUAAUGAAAAGGACUGGGCAUAGUGGACAGCACUGAUUAUUUUCAGAUUUGAUUGGGAUUGAUUCAAGUUCUUCUCCACUGAACCUGACACGGCCUGUGGGUUUGUCGUAGAAACCUCCAUUCUAUUGAGGUACCAUAGGACUUUUAUCAAAAAAGCAUGUUGGAUUUUAUCAAAGGCUUUUUCUACAUCUUUUAAGAUCAUCAUGUGAUCUUUGCCUUGAGUUCAUUUAUGUUAUUUCUCAGAAUUGAAAAUAAUCUUUCAAACACAAAAUUUUCUUAUCUAGACUAUAGAGUAAAUUUACCUGGCCUUGAUAAAAACCCUGAAUCUGGAGCUGCUCAUAUGAAGAAAUGAAACAAUGAAAUGGAGUAGUAUAAAAGUAUCAAAUUGGGAGGUCAAAUUUUUUUGUAUUCACAACUGCAGAAGGCAUAGUUCAUAUGACAGGAUAAUGUGGAUAAAAUAAUAUUUGGAUGUUUACCUCCACUUGAAACUUUCUGUCUGCAUAACGUCUGGCUGUGGGUCUCUGCACCUGCUCCCAUGUGCUGCCAGAGGAAGCCUCUCUGAUGAUGACUGGACAAAGCACUGAUCUGUGAGUAUUGCAGAAUAUCAUUAGGAAUCAUUUCAUUGUUUUUUGUUGGUUUGUUUUUUGCCUGUAGUGUUUGAUUCGACCCUAGGUCUCUGGACUAUCCAGUCUCCAGUUCCUGGCCAUCCAGAUAGUAUAGGGCACCCACUCCCUCUCAUGGACUGGGCCUCAAGUUAAACCAAAUAUUGGUUGGCCACUGCCACAAGUUCUGUACCACCAUUGCCCCAGCACAUCUUGCAGGCAGGACAGAUUGUAGGUCGAGGGUUUUGUGGAUGGGUUGAAGUCCAGGUUUCUCUUUCUGUAGCCUGCAGAGUACCUUCUCAUGCCAAAGAGACUAGUGGAGACUCCAUGCGGGUACCAGCUCAACCUCUGUGCAUUCAGUGAGCUGUGUGGAUGUUGUCUUCGGCAACAGGGUCCUGCUGUCCAUUUUCCUGUAGAGACCCUCUGUCCUCACAUCAGCUUGGCCCCACCACCACCCACCCAGGCCAACAAUUCAACCGAAUGCAAACCAGCCCCACCUCUGGAAGCAUGGCUACAAAAGAUGUCCAUGUCCUCCAUUACUAGGAGCCCUCACUAGGAUCACCCUCAUAAAUUCCAGGAAGUUCGCACUGCCCUAGAUUUCCAAAUGCCCUCAAUUCCAUCUGUCUCUCCCUGCAUUCUUUCCUUCCACCUCCCUCCAAACCGAUCCCGUCUACUACUGUCUUCACAUGCCUCAAGACCACCUGCAAAAUCUAUUCUGUUUCUGUUCCCAGGGAGAUCCAUGCUUCCUCCCUAGAGCCUGGCUCUUUAUCUAACCUCUCUGGGCUUGUGUAUUGUAGCUUGAUUAUCAUUUACUUGAAUCCAUACCAGGUUUGGCUUUCUGGGUCUGGGUUACCUAACUCAGAAUGAUUUUUUUUGAGUACAUCCAUAUGAUAUUUUCUUGUAUUCACACAUAUAUAUUUCACAAAGAAAAUAAUACUAUAUUUGUGUUUUUGUUUUCCAAUCACCCAAAGUAUCUAUUUUGUCUUAUCACUUGUGUAUGCAAUUGAAUGUGCUAGAUUCAUUUUGAUAUCUUUGUAAUACUAUUUAAAAUCAUAUGUUAUAGCACUUCCUACAUUAUACUGUCUAAGUAAGAUUUGUUUGUCUUUUUGACAAGUAUCCAUUUGACUAUAUCCUGUCAUUUGUGACUAUAAAAAAAAUGGAGGGGUUCAUUUUAUAUAUAGAUAUAUUCAUUAUAUAUACAUGCACACACACAUACACACACAUAUAUGUAAUUUGUAGGAAUACUAUCAAAUCUCAGUAUUACUUUUGGAUAUAGAGUCAUUUUUACAAUGUUAACACUAUUAAUCUUGUAACACAGGAGUUAUUUCUAUAUUUUAGCAUCUUAUUCCAUUUCUUUCUAUGUUAAAGUUAAGUGAACUUUUAGAGGUUUUAACCACCUGGAUUCCAUUAUUUAUAUUUCCUAUGUAUUUUAGAAGCAAAUAAAAUGGUAUUAUUUUGCUGAAUUUCUUCCAUCACAACUUUCAUCUGGACAUAGAAAAGUUCUUUUAUGCAGAGUAUUGGAAAGGAAUGGGAGAUAGUGGAAACCUCUGUCCUGUUCAUAAUUUUAAUGGAUCUCUUAGAAUUUCUCUCCAUGGAGGAUGCUGCUGCUUGUGUGUUUGUAACAUACAGCCUUUAUCAUGGUGAGUUAUAUUAUCUCCAGUAGUGUACUUUCCAAGACUUUUGUCAUGAACGAAUGUCGGAUAAAUGUCAAAGGCCUUUUUUUAACAACCAUUAAAAUGAUCAUGUGACUUUUCUCUCCCUGUACAUGUGUAUAGUUCAUUACAUCUGUUGAAUUACAUAUAUUGAGUAACCCCUGAAUCUCUGGGAUAAAGCCAAUUUGAUUCUGAUGGAUGAUGUAUCUCUUCAAUAUCUGUUUAUCAGAGAAGACAUUUAUUUUGCCUUCUUUUUUUAAAAAAAAAUGAGAUUUUAUUUAAAAUGUAAUCACAUCCCUUACCCCUUUUCCUUUCCACUCACAAUUAAAUUCUAUACCCCCAUCUCUCUUAUCAAUAACCUCUUUUUCUUUUAUUAUUACUGUGACAUGUACAUUGAGAAAGAGAAAAGAGUGAAAUUUGUACAAAUGUAAAUAAACCUGCUGAGUCAGUUUUUGUUGUGUAUGAGUAUAUGACAAGAUAAUUUAUACUGGAUAACCUUUUAGGAGGCUUAUCCCUGCAAGAGGCUAAUUCUCUCAGCAGUUUUUUGUCUAGGACAAUGGUUCUCAACCUUCCUAAUGCCACGGCCCUUUAAUACAGUACCUCACGUUGUGGUGACCCACAACCAUAAAAUUAUUUUCAUUGUUACUCCAUGAAUGACUGUAAUUUUGGUACUGUUAUGAAUCAUAAUGUAAAUAUCUGAUAUGUAUGAUAUCUAUUAUGAGACCCCUGUGAAAGGAGCAUUUGACCCCUCCAAAGGGUUACAACCCACAGGUUGAGAACCUCAGGUCUAGGGGUUACAGAUGUAAGACUUUCCCUUUGCUUUGGCAUAUCUAUUGAUAUUGCAAUUGUUAAGAUCUUAUUUAACAUAUAUUUCUAGGAGAAACAGUGUGAGAGCAGACUUACUGGUCCUCUGGCUCUUACUAUCUUUCUGCUCCUUUGGCAAUUUUUUUCCAGAGAUUUAGGUGCCAGAGUUAUAUUGCAGGUGUAUUCCAUGUGGAUGCACAAGCCAACAUCUUCACAGGCAUGACCACUGGAUAAGACUAAUUAAUGACUGUUUCUCCAACUUGUCAGCUUGCAUAGUUUUUUUAUGGUACUAUGGCAGCUAGAUGAUAUUUCUGCUAUGUUCCUGUGUUUUUUUUGCUAGUAUUUUAUUUAGAAUUUUUGCAUCUAUGCUUCUCAAUAAUAUCAGCCUAUAGCAUUCUCUUUUUGUAUUUGUCUUUACCUGGUUUGGGCAUUCAGAUUAAUCCUAGCUUUGGAGAAUGCAUAGGGAAGUGCACCUCCCUAUGCAUUUAUUUAUAUAUAUAUAUAUAUUUAUUAUAUAUCUAAUAAAAAUUUAUUCUAUUUUUAUUAGAAUAAAUUAAGAAGUAUUUGUUGUAGUGCUCUAAAAGUCUGGUAGAAUUCUCUUGUGAAUCCUAGAUGGAUAUCUUGUACUGAACAUCUUGUACUCUGGAAAGUUUUCAGUAUCAUUUCAAAAUCUUUGUUUGUAUUGGGCCUGUUUAACUUACUGAUCUCUUCUUGACUUAGUAUUAGUUAUGGGUGAAGUUAGGAAUUUUCAUUUGCUUUACAUUUCCUAACUUAAUGAUACAAUAGUAUAUGAUUCUUAAGUAUUUCCUUAUAAUGCUCCAAUUUUCUUUAACAUCUGUUGUAAUAUUUCCCUGUUCACCUCUGACUUGGUUAAUUUGUCUUCCUUUCUUUCUUUCUGGCUUAAUGUGCUAAAGUGUGUGUCAACUUGGUUUAUCCUUUCAAAGAACAAACUCACAGCUUUGUUGGUAUUCACAUCCUGCAAGACAGAGAGGUUUAGGAAAGUACUUUCUGAUUAACACUACGUUAACUCAGGAAUUACAUUCACCAGUUGAGAACUGGAACUUCAUAAAACUAAAAUGCUCUGGAUAAUAGGAUUAACAAGUCUAGUGAAGGAGAAUCACACGGAAUGGGAGACAGUGUUGGUCAGGUUUAUAUCUGAUAGAGGACUUAUUUUCUGAAUAUAUAAAGAACUCAAAAAUCAGAGUUAAGAGAAAAAUAAUUAAAUGCUCUACAGAGCUGAACAGAGAGCACACCAAAGAAUAGCUAUAAAUAGCAUAACAAGUGUUCAACAACCUGAGCAAUUAGAGAAAUGCAAUUUAAAACAACUCUGAGAUUUCAUUUUUCAUUAAUUAGAAUGAAGAAGAUUGGGAAAAUAUGUAGCAAUAAAAGCUGGUAAAGAGGGGGAGAAUGAAGAAUUCUUUUUUUUUUUUUUUUUUUUUUUUUUUUUUGGUUUUUCGAGACAGGGUUUCUCUGUGUAGCUUUGCGCCUUUCCUGGUACUCGCUUUGGAGACCAGGCUGGCCUCGAACUCACAGAGAUCCGCCUGCCUCUGCCUCCCGAGUGCUGGGAUUAAAGGCGUGCGCCACCACCGCCCGGCAAAGAAUUCUUAAUCACUGUUGGUGAUUAUAAAAUGAUACAGCCACUAUAGAAAUCAGUGUGAAGUAUUCUAGAGAGUGUGAUAAUAGUAGUUCUCUGAUAUGAAAGGGGUAGCAGGAAUAAUGGAUAAUAAAGGAAUAAUAAAGAAAUGAACUGAUCAAUUCCCAGCACCCACAUGGUGGCUCACUACCAUCUGUAAUGAGAUCUGGCUCCCUCUUCUGGCCUGUGGGGAUACAUGAAAACAGAAUAUUGUAUACAUAAUAAAUAAAUAAAUCUUUAAAAAAAAAAAAGAAAAAGAAAUGAACUGAGAAGGGGAUAGGAAGGAUAAUUCAAGAGGUUAGUGAAGGAGUGAUAAAUAACAUGAUGAAUGUUUGAAAAGCCAAGUGAAAAAUAUUAUUAUAUAGUAUUAUGAUAAAUUAAUGUUUGAAGUUAUUUUAAAAUGUCUGUAGAGAAUGUACUUAUAAUUUAUAUUUGUAUUUGUAUGAAUCUAAGUUACGUUCUUAUUUUUAUGAUAAGACACCAAGACCAAGGCAACAUGUAGAAGACAGAGUAUUUUGUGGGGCUUACAGUUUCAGAGAGUGAGUCCAUUACCAUCAUAUCAGGGAGCAUGGCAGCAGGCAGGCAGGCAUGGCACUGGAGCAGCGGCUGAGAGCUUCACCCAAUCUGUGAAGAACUGUCUUGGAAUUUUGAUGCUUUGGACUGAAUCUGUAGACUGUUUUUGGUCAUUUUCACAAUAUUGAUUGUACCAAAACAUGAGCAUGGAAGAGCUUCCAAUCUUCUGUAGUCUUCUUCAAUUUCUAUCUACAGUAUCUUAAAGUUUUAUUAUACAACUCUUUCACUUGCUCGGUUAGACUUAUCCCAAGAUUUUUAUGUGGAUAUUGUAAAAAGGACUGUUCCUCUGAUUUUUUCCUCAGUGUUUUGUCAUUUGUUUAUAGGAAGGUUACUGAUUUUGUGUUAAUAUUGUAUCUUAUUAAUUUACUGAUAGUGUUUACCAGCUGGAGAAGUUUCCUGGUGGAGUCUUUAGGGUCUUGUACACAUAAAAUCAUAUCAUUGUCAAAUAAAGAUACUUUUACUUCUUC
This is a long non-coding RNA of Peromyscus californicus insignis, 6381 nucleotides long. RefSeq lists it as uncharacterized. The transcript is spliced from 7 exons. The record is from RefSeq and is a predicted model, not a curated record. NCBI's taxonomy places the organism in Eukaryota, Metazoa, Chordata, Mammalia, Rodentia, Cricetidae.